AGGACGAACGCUGGCGGCGUGCCUAAUACAUGCAAGUCGAACGGUCUUUUCUAUGGAAGCUUGCUUCCACUGAGAAGAUAGUGGCGAACGGGUGAGUAACACGUGGGUAACCUGCCCAUAAGAGGGGGGAUAACAUCCGGAAACGGGUGCUAAUACCGCAUAGUUUUCUUGGUCGCAUGAUCGGGAAAGGAAAGACGGCCUUUGUGCUGUCGCUUAUGGAUGGACCCGCGGCGUAUUAGUUAGUUGGUGAGGUAACGGCUCACCAAGACGAUGAUACGUAGCCGACCUGAGAGGUGAUCGGCCACAUUGGGACUGAGACACGGCCCAAACUCCUACGGGAGGCAGCAGUAGGGAAUCUUCCGCAAUGGACGAAAGUCUGACGGAGCAACGCCGCGUGAGUGAAGAAAGGUUUUCGGAUCGUAAAACUCUGUUGUCAGAGAAGAACAAGUUGGAGAGUAACUGCUCCAGCCUUGACGGUAUCUGACCAGAAAGCCACGGCUAACUACGUGCCAGCCGCUGC
This 520-nucleotide ribosomal RNA is filed under the name uncultured bacterium. RNAcentral describes it as "bacterial SSU rRNA". It matches the Rfam family "Bacterial small subunit ribosomal RNA", at positions 26 to 518 of the family's 1533-position model. The record is from RNAcentral.